RNAcentral lists this ribosomal RNA (232 nucleotides) under uncultured bacterium. RNAcentral describes it as "partial 16S ribosomal RNA". It matches the Rfam family "Bacterial small subunit ribosomal RNA", at positions 99 to 334 of the family's 1533-position model. The record is from RNAcentral.
CGGGCGGGUGAGUAAUGCUUGGGAAUCUAGCUUAUGGAGGGGGGUAACUACGGGAAACUGUAGCUAAUACCGCGUAAUAUCGGAAGAUUAAAGUGUGGGACCUUCGGGCCACAUGCCAUAGGAUGAGCCCAAGUGGGAUUAGGUAGUUGGUGAGGUAAAGGCUCACCAAGCCGACGAUCUCUAGCUGGUCUGAGAGGAUGACCAGCCACACUGGGACUGAGACACGGCCCAG